AGCAGCAGCCGCGGUAAUACGAAGGGGGCUAGCGUUGUUCGGAAUUACUGGGCGUAAAGCGCACGUAGGCGGAUAUUUAAGUCAGGGGUGAAAUCCCAGAGCUCAACUCUGGAACUGCCUUUGAUACUGGGUAUCUUGAGUAUGGUAGAGGUGAGUGGAAUUCCGAGUGUAGAGGUGAAAUUCGUAGAUAUUCGGAGGAACACCAGUGGCGAAGGCGGCUCACUGGACCAUUACUGACGCUGAGGUGCGAAAGCGUGGGGAGCAAACAGGAUUAGAUACCCGGGUAGUCCCUGUCUCUUAUAA
This 303-nucleotide ribosomal RNA is filed under the name uncultured bacterium. Its description in RNAcentral is "partial 16S ribosomal RNA". It matches the Rfam family "Bacterial small subunit ribosomal RNA", at positions 507 to 809 of the family's 1533-position model. The record is from RNAcentral.